UUUUUGAAUUAGUGGAAUAUGUUACCUGGGCUGAAAGCAAAUCCUCUAUAAAACCUGAAACAUCUUGUAUUUCAGCCUAGAACGAACUGUUGGUAUUGACAUUUCUCUCAUCAGAUAUUGGUAUACCUGGGUUAUAACCAGUUCCACAUACCGCUCAUAUGGUUGAUUAGAAACUAAGACCUUGUCUACACCAGGAGCUUGAGCAGCAUUGUGGCAACGGCAGUGUGCUCCAUCAGUAGAACAACUCAUGUUUGGAACUAACUACACUCUUAAGUACAGAUUUUUACUUGUAUGAGGCAUAAAUUAACCAUUGUCACAGGCAGUUAAACAGCCUAAUUAUCAGGACAUCCCAUUAGGGUGCAACUUCUCAGAGUAAUUAGGAGGUCAUGAAUUUCCCAUAUAUUCUCUUUCCCACACACACGACAGAAAUCCAGUAUAGUUCUGUUGUAAAUCUAGGGCACGCCAGAAACCUAUUAUGAUAUGUAAGCAAUGGAAAUGUAUUUUCACUGUCAGGUGCAAACUGAAGGAAAGGGAUAUUCCAAGGAUAUUUUAGCAAGGAGGAAAAAAAAAAAUCAAACAGAAAAGGAAUGUUUAGUUUUUCAUGCUCUAACUCAGUAUUUAGGAUUGCAGGUGACAGCCACAACCUCUCCGCACCAUUCCUUAGGUCUCAUUUAAUUCUAUGAGCAAAACUAUCCACUGCCCGAGUAUGGAUAUGUGCACAUGGGAAGGUUGUACAGGGAGUGCUUCAUCUCUCUUGUGCAGUCCACAUGACAGCUAGAGAAUCUGUUGCUGCAGUCUGAGGAGACCAGGGCUUACCAUUUCCUUAUACUCUCUUGGGAGCAAAUUACCAAGAAAUAUGGGGACCAAAUGGCCCCCUCUCCAAGCUAUGGUGCACCUGGUGUAACUCCAGAAUAGAUUUUCCCCUUAGUGCUGUUCGUAUUGCAGCACUCAGCUCUUCACCAUCCCCCUUCUGAAGGCAGCAGCUGCAUGCCACAAUCGAGCCUCAUAGUAAGUAGAACAAGCUAUCAUGCACAUCAAAAGCAAGUGAAGCUCUUAGACAGAUGUAUGCAUCAUGCUUUCGCCAACUAGGAUGUAGUGUACAAAGAGACUGUUUGGUCUUUAAAUCUCAAUGAAUUCACUCUUGACAUCGUAUCUUGAGGCUGGACUAAAGCAACAUCUUGUCAAGUGCUGAGAAGUCAGCAAGCCAAAAUAUGCUACCCUCAUUGGUGCCAAUUUGCAUCUUACAGACAUACAGCUCAGGAAAAGCAGUGGUGUCUGGCUCUGUCUGGGGAUCGUUGCAUUCUGUCUUCUUUGAAGGAGUGGGGAAAAGGGGAGUACUUCACGUACUCUGCUGUAGUGGUUUAUUCUCCUGUAGCAGCUCCUCCCAGUCUGGGAACACUGGAUAAGUGACAAUUUUUGCUUGAUCAGGCCACAGAAAGCAGUUUAUAGCCAUGACCAAACACAAAUGCACAGCUGCAGACAGCUUAAAAAUGACCAAUCGGAUGAAAAUCUGACCUUUCAUUGCAUGAAGUAUCAGAUGAAGACGUUUAAACAAAAUAUAGCAUCUUCUGUAACUUGUGUCUGUGGAGCUCCCAGCCUGUUGCUGUUUUCAGAAGGAUGGGGGAAGGGAGCAGAAGAAGUUCAGUCUGGGGAUUUUUUGGCCUCCACUAGAGGGUGGGUCCGGGUGUAUUGGACCCCUCCUUCCCGAGUUGGGGGGCUCCAGUUUAUCCACCCCACCUGUCAGCACUGGCUGGGGAGCCCCAAGAAUGAGCUCCCUUCACUGUCUUUCCUCCCUCCCAUUCUGAAAACAGAGAGCCCUGCCUGGAACUAACAGUGAACUUCUGUUUAGGGUGGGCUAACCUUGUAAAUCAGAAAGCUUUGCUGAAAAUGUUCCAAGUUACAACUGGGAGCUGCACUUCUGUCUGCUCCUAUUGUUUCACUUUGGUUGUCAUCCCUCCUGUCGAAAAAGGGAAAAAAAAUAGAGGUAUGGCCUCUUGUACUCAUCUUUCUUGUCUGAAUCAACUCGGAGUAACCUUUGUUUUAACCUGCUCUGGGGCUAGGAGAUCUAGGCGCAUCCAUUGCCCAGCAGCUGUAGAGGUCUCUUGGCGUGUCUGCAUGAGACACUUGCUGUGGAGCCAUCUAAUUGGCUCCACAGUAAAAUGUCACUGUCUAUAUGUGUGGCUCUAUUAGGUUAUAGUAGACUAAUAAAUGCUGCUGCAGGGUAGUCCAGUUAAACGCAAGUACUACUCUGUGGUGACAUUGUUUCGUGUACUGCAGUGGAUGUGUAGACAAUGACAGGUGUGGCUGGGGCAUAGGGGUGCUUCAGUGCCAGGCUAGCCAGCAGGCAGCCCCUAUACUGAAGUAUCCUCGUGCCCCAGCCAGCCCCUCCGCAGCAUGUGGAGCAUGAUUGGAGCAGCCCAGGCUGGCAGAGGACCUGGGGAUCAGCCUGUCGGCCCCAGGCUGGUCCGACUUGAUUCCACGUGCUGCAGUUCAGCUGGCUGAUUAAUGAGGGCACUUCAGCACAGGGGCUGCCUUUUGGCUCUGCCCACAGUAAGGCACUCUUGUUCCUUAGCCAGCUCCUCCACAGCACGUGGAGCCCCGUUGGAGCAGCUCUGGGUUGGCAGGCUGACCCCCUGGGUCAGCCAGCCCAAGCUGCUCUGACUGGGCUCCAAGUGCUGCACAUAAAUAAACUCUGGAGUAAUACGCUGUGGAGUUUUUUUGCUCCCAGAUGCACAUUCAAAUGGUAUGCCUGGGACCAAAAAACUCCAGAGCAAUAAUCUCUGGCGUUUAUUCUCGUGCAUUAAUCACACAUGUAGACGUACCUUCUGUGUACAGUAUCAAGCCAUGAGUUAUGAUAGCAUGUUGGAAAACAUCCUACAUGUAUGUUUAUUACACAUGCUUCAAGUUAGCCAUGUGCUCAGCUGUAUGCUGCACUGGGAUCUAAGAUAGUACUGUUCACAUUUAUGCUCAGGGCAUUAUUUUGGAUGGUCUGUAGUAGCCUGCCUUCCCAAACAAGGCAUGAUGUAGAACAGGCCCAAGGGCUGAUUUCUCAGAGGUAUUGACAAAUGUUUUUGAUUAUCUAAAGUGCUGAACAGAAAGCUUUACCUGGAAGGGGACUAAGAGCUCAAUCCUGUACCACUGGGCUGGUUUCCAAUGACUUGGAUGACAGCAGGUUCACAUCCGAGGGUGAAAUCAUGACCCUAUUGAAGUCAGUGGCAAAAUGCCCAUCUAUUUCAUUGAAGCUUGAAUUUCUCCCUGGUUCUCCCUUGGCACAAGAGUGCUAGCCAUGAUUAGAAGCUACAGCAAGCUCCAAGGAACAGAUGGCUUUAAGCCAUACACACAACUUAUGCUUUAUGUACCUCACCCUUAGCCAAGGAUCUAGCUUAUUAUGUACAUCUUGAAUAGAAAAUCUCUCAUUUGCAUAAAGGUCCCAUAGAGCCAUUAUUGAAUUUCCUUUGAAUUGACAAAAAAAAUUAACAGAAUGCAUGUUGUUUAUACAGUUUUUUAAUAAAUAAUUAAAACUGAAUUCCAUUUAUGGCAGUAACAGAUUAGCAAACACACUAGAGUUGACUUUUCUGCCAAUUUUAAUGAGUGGAUUUAUCUUACCUCUUUGAGAGCUAAGGGGAAAAAGAGAGACAACUGUAUUUUUGUGUGUGCGAAUGAUAAGUUAAGAUUAGUGAGUUGCUACUGACACACAGAGACUAGGGGUAUGUUUGCACUAUAGACUGACCCUGCUGUUUUAGCCUUUGCUCAGAAAGCCUCAGACUUUGGAUCUGGUCUCACUGUCGCAACUGGGGGUUAUAGUCAAACCUGGGUCUCGCUCUAGCAUGGGCUCCAAUCUGCCCACUCUACAGUGAGGAUGUUGUUUAGCUUGUGCAGAUGAGCUUGUUUGGAAAGUCCUCCACUGCUGUCCUACAAUUCCUGAGACUUGUGUGUUACUGCUCUUCUAUCCACUUACGUCCCUCUCCCCUCCUUUACACUGAAAGCUACCUUCUGGCUUAUAUACGUUUGGUUGGCAUUUAUGCCUUUUUUCCAUCUUCUGCUGUUUCAGCUCAAACAGCCUCUGCAGAUGCUGUCCCAGCUUAACUUAGCUGGCCAGAGGGGAAAACCAGGUUUCUGGUUGGCCUCUAGUAGAAGCAUCCCAAAGAAGCUGAUGGAGAUAGAAUCAAGCAGACAGCUGUCCAGGGCACGGGUUUCUGUUACAAAUCAUAAAUGGUAACUACAGGUAGGGGCAACACCCUGUUCAUUUGCUCUUUUGACAAAUUUGACUAGGUCUUUUUGUCAUGUCAAAGUUUUCCACUGCCUUAAAUACCCAGGAAUGGUCUAAAUUUUAGACUGAGGCCACAGGGAACUUGAACAGCAUCAGAGAAGAUCUCCAAACAAAGGGGUAAGAGUCAGAAGAAUGGACACCAGAAAAAAGCCAUACUGCUAGGACAGGGCCUGGAGUAGACUAUUUGACUGGAUGAGCAAGGAGAUAUCUCGAGAUCUCUUCAGCAAUGGACCAAGGAACCAGUGUCGAAAGGCAGAGCUGGGAGAGUUGGACCCAUAUCCAGCAGGAUUUUCAACUUCUCCUGGACUGGAGGUUGCUAUCUAGAACUCUGGAGAGAGGACCUGGAAUCAGUGUGGCAAAAGGGAAGAGGCUGACAGAAGGAAACCUAGACUGCCCAAGUAGGAGGAAGAGAGGGGAAAAGCCAAGAGGAAGGGAAGUGCAGUUACAGGACCUCAAGCACAACUAGAGGAUAACAGAGCAGGACUCCGAGCAGAAACAGGAGCUGUAUCAUGCAACACCAACUCUAGCAUAGUCACCAGUGCCUGCAGCCCCCCACUCCUUGACAUAUUUUGUAGCCAAUGCAGCUACUGGACAUUUCAGUGGCUGGGUGGGCUCUGACCUAGAUCUUCAUUUACUAGAAGGUCUAGGUGUUCCCUGUUUGCUCUAUUCUAGUAUGUCUUUGUAACCUGUACAUCCUGGGGCAGAUAUCAGAUACACUCUGUAGCAGGUUUGGGGUUAAUUAGCUCAAACAGUCUUUUAACUAUACAAAGUGCUUUAUUUUCUGGGCCCACUGCCUCACAGGAAACCUCUUCACCACAAGUCAAUACUCAACUUAGCAAAGUCCAGAUACUGCAUACUCACAGUCCAGAGUCCUCUGUAGCUCCUGGGAAGGUGCCUCCUGCUCCCUGCUGUGAUCCCUACACUGCAGGCUUGCUUCCCAGGUUGUCUCAAUCUUAGUUCCCCAGAGGUAGUCCUGCUGCUCCCAAUUUUACAGCUCUGAGUCUCUUGCCAGCUCCUGAGAGUUUCUGGACCAGUGUUACAGCCACUGCCAAGCAAUCCUUUCUCACUCUAGCUCUUGCAGUCCCAUCUUUGUUCAUCACAGAACCCCCCACCCCCUGGUUCCCUUCCUUGGGAGCCCUUUUAGCUGCCUGGAAGUCAGCUGAUUAUUUGCCUCAGCUGGUCCAGUUUCCUAGGCAGCCUGUAAUCAGACUUUGCUACCUGUAAGUGGGCUGUAGUCCCUGCCCACCUGCAGGCUUCUAUAGCCAGGAGGGUGCAGGCUGCUGCAAGCUUUUGCCAGCUGACCUGCUAUGCACACCUGACAUCCCAUUUCACUACCAGUGAGUCUGGACAGCUUCCACUUCAGUUAAUGGCACACAUUUGCACUGUUGCUCUUUGUGCACAAGCAGCUGGAAUGCCUGCAGUGCUUUCCAGAACAAUUCUGUUUAGUACUUCAUUCAUUAAUAAGUUGGUUUGCUUAUACAAAGCAUUGGUGUGUGAGUACUUUCAAAAGAGGGGAGAGUCAAGAAAUUGCAUGCAGGGCUUUAAAUAAAGCAUCAAACUCUCUGAUAGUCACAGAAAAUAACCACUAGCAAACAAUAAAUAAACCUCUAUAUCUGCUCUGACAGUAUAUGAUUUCAUGCUUCCUCAUAAUGGUGGAGAACCAUUCUGCACCGGGGAUCAGGAGGGAUGCACAGAUUUCCUACAUACCCCAAACCUAGAGUGGCUCAAGUAAGACCCUCUGUCAUGCCCCUAGCAAUCCAACUGGAAAAUGUGGGUGACAGUCCCAUCCAUACAGUCCCAUCCUCUUUCCUGCCAGGGGCAGGGGGUCGGACACGAUGAUCGCUUGUGGUCCCUUCCGACUCUACAAUCUAUGAAUCUAUGAAUACUGAGACUGCUAUGUGGUUGGGAGCUGCUUGUGCAGGUGCUUCUAGGCAGGCUUUGCAGUGCCAGGCAUGUAUGCUCAGGAGCUUGGGUUUGAGUAUGUGACCUGGAAUGGACAUGCUCCAUCUUGAGAAAUGGAUUUUGUCAUAACUACUUGUUCUUAGUUGUCCUGCUGCUGCCACAUAAAAAUAUUUGUUGAACCUCUGGUGAUUAGUGGAUUUCAAGGUCAUUAUUUACUGCCAUAAUAUCAUGUUUUAUUAAAAUGCUGGCCCCAGCCCAGCUGUAAUGCCUCAUCUAUGUGGAAGAAACCUAAGACAGGCACCAUUCAGAAUCAAGAUACUCGAGCAACAGGACACCCCAGCUCUGACGUAUUCAUUAUGCAUCCUGCAGGCUCAUUGCAUUUGCAACUUGACUCCUUUGUUAAAAGCAAACACAUUGCAGAUUCUGCCUGGCUUUUCUACAUGUGCUCAAUAGGCAGAAAUGAUAUAAAGUUCCCCUUGCUUGCUAGCCUGCACAGAGACCAGAAAGGUUUGUUACUGUUAUUUGUGCUGCUGUACUGCCCAGAGAGCACUUUGUGCUAGACACUGUAUGGACACAAUAGUGGGCUACAGUCCUUGUUUCAAAGAGUGUACACUAUAAAACAAGCCCACCAAAGGGUUAGAAGUGAAAGAGAAGCUCAGAGAAAUUAAGUGCCCAAUAAUAGAUCAGUGGCAGAAUCAGUCACAAGACCAGGUCUAGUGACUCUUAAACUAGAGCUUUAGAUACUAGAUGACACUGCUUCCCACAGAAUGGCAGGGUUUGCUUCCCUACCUACUUGUUUGGGAUGAACGGUGUGUCAAUGAGGAUCCAUGAUGGGAGGGCAGCUCUGUAGACCUGCUCCUCUUUGCUGCAGGCUGAAGAGCAGAAUCCAUGCCAUGGGGCGAGCAGGUUGCAUCCUAUAAUGGCAUGUGGUAACAUGCAUUUUCUGAGUGCCUUGGGAGACAAUCCACUGGCUGGGGAGAGGUGGAAAAAAUAAAAACAUACAUUCCCAAAUUUUAUAUUUGGAGAGGUAUUACUUGAUCUCACAUGUUUGGUGUGACUGCAGUUUUAGUUAUGGAUCUCAAAUUAAUCUAGAAUAUCCUAGCUCUUACACCUUAUUGCAAUGAUUUCAGCUCCCAUGAUUCCAUUUUUUAAACUUUGAAAGCUGACAUGGAGCCAUUGUCUACUGUACAGUAAAGCUCGCCUAUGUUACUGCACUGGCUACAACCCUGUUUAAUACAAGAAGGCAGUUCACUGUGGAAUUUUCCAUAAGGACACUGAAAUCAUAUACCUUUCUUCUUUUAACAGAGGAACAGCGACAUGCAAAGAUAACCUGAACUUAAAGACAUGGCACUUACACUCAUGGUCAAAUGUAACAUGUUCUAGUCUAAAGUGUACAGUGUUGAACCAUUCUGACUUUGGGGAGGAAUUUCAUUUUUCGUGAUUCAUUUUUUUUUUUAGAUAAGGAAAGGAUGUUUGCUUUUUUACAUGACUGCAAGCCUAUCCUUUGAAUUCCGCCUGCCAAGAAAGGUGAAGAAAAUACUCAAACUGACCUCUUGUAAACUAAACAGUGUUUUUCUUUCUUUGGAGUAAUGCCAAGGAAUUGUCCAAAUAAAAUACCAACACUAACUCUCAGACAGUCCAGUUUCUCUUUUUGCUUUAUAAAUUCUGUUUCAGCAUGCUAGUUAAGUACAUGCUUAAGUUUGUGCUUAAAUUUAAGCCCUAGAAUAGUUCCACUGACUUGUCAUUGACACCAAAUGAACUAUUCGCAUGCUUACAUUAAAGCAUGUGCAUAAGCUUCUUGCUGAAUUGGAGCCUGCCAGUGAACACAGUUUCUUAUUCUAAGAAAAGCUGUGGAAUUUGGAAGCAGGAACUUUCUGGCAACCAAAAUGGAAAUGAAAUCGAGUGGAAUUCCCAGCCACUUGGAAAAUAAAUUCUCCAAUUCCCCGUUCAAGGAUUAAAGACUGAAUUUAUUUUGAAUCAUAUCCAUCUUGGUAACCUGCGAAGUAUUGUCUUUAAUCAAACUUGAAUGAGUGUCCUGCACAGAGGAAGCAAUCUCUAGGGUUGUUAUCCAAAGUCCCUCUCUUAGAAGCCUUCAAGAGAUUGUGUCCAUUUUAAUUUCAGUGCACUGUACAGCAAUCUUAACUCCACACAGAAUGUGUACAAGGAAAGUCUUUUUGUGAUAGCAGUUUUUUGGUCUCGUAGGAUAGGUUAUACUUCUGACUUAUGAUAUAUUCAUGUUUUCAUUUGCUAAAGACAAGUUUCUCAGUUUUCAGUUUUCUUAAAACUUUUGUUUAACUGAACACUGUCUGCAUCUACAUGAGACGCUGACUGCACUGUAGCUCGUUCCUACUUUGCAGUAGCGUCAUGUGGCACAAAGCGUGAUGCGAUGCUACAGCACAGUAGUAAUGAGCUACUCCUCAGUCUGCAACGCUCCUGUGCACUUACUGCAACGCUCCUGUGCAGUAACUCAGGUUACCAAAUGGUCUUUAGUACUUGUAUACACAAGUAACAACUGCGCAGUCAGGAUCUUGUGUAGAUGUAGCCACUAUAGCAGACUUGGAGACUUCCUUUCAACUACAGCUGGUGCCAUGUCAGAGUUUUAAAUUUAAAUUAUGUAUCAAUUUUUACCUUAGUGAUUUAGUAGAAGGUAGUCUACCACAUGCUCAUGUAAGAUCUUUGCAUAAGCAGUUUAAGCAGCGCAGUACUUUACCUGGUAGCCAUAUAAUUGAUUAGAGAAAGUGGGCUGGGACAUAACAUUCAUGCAUUCAUAGGAUGAAAUCCUUAGCCUAAGCUUAGCACAUUGCAGCUGCUGUACAACGAUAUUUUAUUUAAAUAAAUCUUCUCCUUUGGCAGUCCCUCGCAGUCAAGGAUGAUUGUCUUUGAAUAUGUAUUUUACAUUAAAAUAAAAAGCCACUAUCUUCCUGCUGUGAAAUAUCUCUACUGCUGCAGUGUAUGUUACUGUGCCUUUGUAUACUACUUGCAAUUAACUGUCAAUAAUACCAUAAACUUAUUACUUGACAUUUAGGGGUAUAAAAUGAAGUGCAAAGGUUGAAUAAAGGACUAUCCAGUCUUA
This is a long non-coding RNA of Alligator mississippiensis (American alligator), 9245 nucleotides long. RefSeq lists it as uncharacterized. NCBI's taxonomy places the organism in Eukaryota, Metazoa, Chordata, Crocodylia, Alligatoridae. The transcript has 2 exons. The record is from RefSeq and is a predicted model, not a curated record.